RNAcentral lists this ribosomal RNA (439 nucleotides) under uncultured bacterium. RNAcentral's name for it is "partial 16S ribosomal RNA". It matches the Rfam family "Bacterial small subunit ribosomal RNA", at positions 339 to 795 of the family's 1533-position model. The record is from RNAcentral.
CUACGGGAUGCACCAGUGGGGAAUAUUGGACAAUGGGCGAAAGCCUGAUCCAGCAAUGCCGCGUGAGUGAUGAAGGCCUUAGGGUUGUAAAGCUCUUUUACCAGGGAUGAUAAUGACAGUACCUGGAGAAUAAGCUCCGGCUAACUCCGUGCCAGCAGCCGCGGUAAUACGGAGGGAGCUAGCGUUGUUCGGAAUUACUGGGCGUAAAGCGCACGUAGGCGGCUUUUCAAGUCAGGGGUGAAAUCCCGGGGCUCAACCCCGGAACUGCCCUUGAAACUGGAUGGCUAGAAUACUGGAGAGGUGAGUGGAAUUCCGAGUGUAGAGGUGAAAUUCGUAGAUAUUCGGAAGAACACCAGUGGCGAAGGCGACUCACUGGACAGUUAUUGACGCUGAGGUGCGAAAGCGUGGGGAGCAAACAGGAUUAGAUACCCGCGUAGUC